CAGAGUUCUCGCCCUCGCGGGUAGAUCUCCCACCCACUGUUAUUGCUACCGUGUUGCUUUGGCGGGCCGUCAGAUUUCGGUCAGGCUACCGGCUCCGGCUGGUAAGCGCCCGCCAGAGAACCCUAAACUCUUGUUUACAGUGUCGUCUGAGUACUACAUAAUAGUUA
Molecule: unclassified non-coding RNA, 167 nt
Filed under: uncultured Helotiales
Lineage: Eukaryota; Fungi; Ascomycota; Leotiomycetes; Helotiales
Description: sequence contains ITS1
Source: RNAcentral